RNAcentral lists this ribosomal RNA (377 nucleotides) under uncultured bacterium. RNAcentral's name for it is "bacterial SSU rRNA". It matches the Rfam family "Bacterial small subunit ribosomal RNA", at positions 1011 to 1388 of the family's 1533-position model. The record is from RNAcentral.
ACUCUCUCUUCGGAGCAUCGGUGACAGGUGGUGCAUGGUUGUCGUCAGCUCGUGUCGUGAGAUGUUGGGUUAAGUCCCGCAACGAGCGCAACCCCUGUUCUUAGUAGCCAGCGGUUCGGCCGGGCACUCUAGGGAGACUGCCAGGGAUAACCUGGAGGAAGGCGGGGAUGACGUCAAAUCAUCAUGCCCCUUAUGACUUGGGCUACACACGUGCUACAAUGGCGUAAACAAAGGGAAGCGGAGCCGCGAGGCCGAGCAAAUCUCAAAAAUAACGUCUCAGUUCGGACUGUAGUCUGCAACCCGACUACACGAAGCUGGAAUCGCUAGUAAUCGCAGAUCAGAAUGCUGCGGUGAAUACGUUCCCGGGUCUUGUACAC